CAGCAGCCACGGUAAGACAGAGGAUGCAAGCGUUAUCCGGAAUGAUUGGGCGUAAAGUGUCUGUAGGUGGCUUUUCAAGUCCGCCGUCAAAUCCCAGGGCUCAACCCUGGACAGGUGGUGGAAACUACCAAGCUGGAGUAUGGUAGGGGCAGAGGGAAUUUCCGGUGGAGCGGUGAAAUGCAUUGAGAUCGGAAAGAACACCAACGGCGAAAGCACUCUGCUGGGCCGACAUUGACACUGAGAGACGAAAGGUAGGGGAGCAAAUGGGAUUAGAUACCCCUGUAGUCCCUGUCUCUUAUAC
Molecule: ribosomal RNA, 301 nt
Filed under: uncultured bacterium
Lineage: Bacteria
Description: partial 16S ribosomal RNA
Rfam family: Bacterial small subunit ribosomal RNA
Source: RNAcentral